RNAcentral lists this ribosomal RNA (577 nucleotides) under Achanthiptera rohrelliformis. RNAcentral describes it as "partial 12S ribosomal RNA". The stretch from base 384 to 455 matches the Rfam family "tRNA". The record is from RNAcentral. Lineage: Eukaryota; Metazoa; Arthropoda; Insecta; Diptera; Muscidae.
UAAAAAAUUUGGCGGUAUUUUAGUCUAUUCAGAGGAACCUGUUUUAUAAUCGAUAAUCCACGAUGGACCUUACUUAAAUUAGUAUUCAGUUUAUAUACCGUCGUUAUUAGAAUAUUUUAUAAAAAUGUUAAUUUUCAUAAUUUUAAAAUAAAAAAUAUAUCAGAUCAAGGUGUAGCUUAUGUUUAAGUAAAAAUGGGUUACAAUAAAUUUAUUUAUACGAAUGUAAAUUUGAAAAUUUUAUUAAAGGUGGAUUUGAUAGUAAAAUUAUAAAGAUUAAUAAUUUGAUUUAAGCUUUAAAAUAUGUACAUAUCGCCCGUCACUCUUAUUAUUAAGGUAAGAUAAGUCGUAACAUAGUAGAUGUACUGGAAAGUGUAUCUAGAAUACAGUUUAAAGCUUAAUAAGUAAAGUAUUUCAUUUACAUUGAAAAGAUUUUUGUGCAAAUCAAUAUAAAUUGAUUAAAUUUUAUUUAUUAUUUUAUUAAUUUAUUAAUUUUAAUGUAUUAAAAAUAAUUAUAAAAAUCAUUUGUUUUAGUAUUGUAUAAAAAAAAAAUAAUAUUUAUUAUAGUGUAAUAGUAUUG